Molecule: transfer RNA, 74 nt
Filed under: Triticum aestivum (bread wheat)
Lineage: Eukaryota; Viridiplantae; Streptophyta; Magnoliopsida; Poales; Poaceae
Also listed under: 1 other name
Description: tRNA-Met (CAT) (tRNA-Met-CAT-14-1, tRNA-Met-CAT-15-1)
Rfam family: tRNA
About the family: Transfer RNA (tRNA) molecules are approximately 80 nucleotides in length. Their secondary structure includes four short double-helical elements and three loops (D, anti-codon, and T loops).
Source: RNAcentral
GGGGUGGUGGCGCAGUUGGCUAGCGCGUAAGUCUCAUAAUCCUGAGGUCGAGAGUUCGAGCCUCUCUCACCCCA